Molecule: long non-coding RNA, 252 nt
Filed under: Mytilus galloprovincialis (Mediterranean mussel)
Lineage: Eukaryota; Metazoa; Mollusca; Bivalvia; Mytilida; Mytilidae
Source: RNAcentral
AAGAACUACAAAUUGAAUUAAUUCAUACUAAAAUAUGUAAAUUUUCCCUCGGUGUAGGAAAAAGAAGCUCAAAUAUGGCAGUGAUCGGCGAGCUUGGGAGAUACCCAUUAUUUAUUGAAAUUAUAGUCAAUAUGUUUUUAUACCUAUCACGUUUAGAAAAAACAGAAGACAAACUGUUGUCUGAAGCUCUCUCUGUAUCCAAGGCCUUAUCUAACCAGAAUAAGAAAAGUUGGUAUAAUUUUAUGAGCUCAC